Molecule: ribosomal RNA, 254 nt
Filed under: Enterobacter cloacae
Lineage: Bacteria; Pseudomonadati; Pseudomonadota; Gammaproteobacteria; Enterobacterales; Enterobacteriaceae
Also listed under: 9 other names
Description: partial 16S ribosomal RNA
Rfam family: Bacterial small subunit ribosomal RNA
Source: RNAcentral
CCUGGGGAGUACGGCCGCAAGGUUAAAACUCAAAUGAAUUGACGGGGGCCCGCACAAGCGGUGGAGCAUGUGGUUUAAUUCGAUGCAACGCGAAGAACCUUACCUACUCUUGACAUCCAGAGAACUUUCCAGAGAUGGAUUGGUGCCUUCGGGAACUCUGAGACAGGUGCUGCAUGGCUGUCGUCAGCUCGUGUUGUGAAAUGUUGGGUUAAGUCCCGCAACGAGCGCAACCCUUAUCCUUUGUUGCCAGCGGU